GCUAGCAUUUAAGUACACUAAUCCCAUGAGGCCUGCGCGUCCCCGGCCCAAAGUUGACCGCUAACUGCCAGCUGACAGCGCCUUGCCACGGGGAGUUGUGAGUGGCAAUCCGGCCCGUCCCCGCCUCCGGUCUACCCACGGCUAAUAAUACGCCGUUAAAGCUAGCAGGGCAGGCUAACUCAAGCACCCACCUCGCUUGUCGAGGUCGUAACCGACCACUAAAAAGUAGUCGGCAAGCCUGGCCAUCUUUGGAGCUCACGGCGACAGGCCUUUCUCGCUAAAUCCUUUUCUCUUUUUGCCGUCAAUAGUCCAUUCACGUCCUACCGGCGACAGACACAUCACGGGCGACAGUAGCAUCCUUCCAGCUGCACCCCGCCGCCAUACUGUCAGUCUGCCUUGCCCUGACAGCGGAGAGCCACGAGUCUGCGCACUGAGGGGCUUCCAGGGAGGGGCUGCUCGACAGGAAUGUCCCAUUUAUCUGAGACUCAGGCCUGAGUGAGCGGAGGACACUCCAGCUCUUUGAUAAACACGGCUUCUGGCAACCAAAGCUAUGUUAACAGGAGAUAACAUGCAUCUCCAGCCAGUCUCCUGAUCCGUGCACAAAGCAACUCUCUGCAGGAUGCACCAGCCAUGUGACUUCCUGUAGACUAACCAACAGACAGGAAGUGGUCUGAAGGCCUCUUGCACAUCACUGCUCUUCAUGGGGUUAUUCCAGCAGUUGACUUCCCUUCAGCUCAGGUGAAGCAUAGCAGAUGACAGCGCUUCAUUAAGCAGGCAUUGGACUCAUUAGUUUUAUUCCCCAAAGUGAAUGCUUACAGAGUCACAGCAGUGUUAUAAUAUGAUACUGUCACUCCAAAUUCCUGCACGAGUGUAACUAAUGCAGGUGUAUGUACUAUAUUUUGUGCUGGAUGAUAAACCAUAUACAGAUACACAGACUUCCUUAUCUCAUGUAUCUCACUGCUGUAAUUGGAGCCCCUCUAUUUCCGCACACACAA
Long non-coding RNA from Micropterus dolomieu (smallmouth bass), 995 nucleotides. RefSeq lists it as uncharacterized. NCBI's taxonomy places the organism in Eukaryota, Metazoa, Chordata, Actinopteri, Centrarchiformes, Centrarchidae. The transcript has 3 exons. The record is from RefSeq and is a predicted model, not a curated record.